AUUGAACGCUGGCGGCAUGCCUUACACAUGCAAGUCGAACGGCAGCGGGCCCUUCGGGGUGCCGGCGAGUGGCGAACGGGUGAGUAAUGCAUCGGAACGUACCCGGGAGAGGGGGAUAACCGGCCGAAAGGCUGGCUAAUACCGCAUGAACUCGGAAGAGCAAAGCGGGGGACCUUCGGGCCUCGCGCUCUCGGAGCGGCCGAUGUCCGAUUAGGCUAGUUGGUGGGGUAAAGGCCCACCAAGGCGACGAUCGGUAGCGGGUCUGAGAGGACGAUCCGCCACACUGGGACUGAGACACGGCCCAGACUCCUACGGGAGGCAGCAGUGGGGAAUCUUGGACAAUGGGCGCAAGCCUGAUCCAGCAAUGCCGCGUGGGUGAAGAAGGCCUUCGGGUUGUAAAGCCCUUUCGGCGGGGAAGAAAUCGGCCAGGCGAAUAGUCUGGCCGGAUGACGGUACCCGCAGAAGAAGCACCGGCUAACUACGUG
This 485-nucleotide ribosomal RNA is filed under the name uncultured bacterium. RNAcentral describes it as "partial 16S ribosomal RNA". It matches the Rfam family "Bacterial small subunit ribosomal RNA", at positions 28 to 507 of the family's 1533-position model. The record is from RNAcentral.